GUUGUUUCAGGGAAAAAGAUACAGAUAUCGAUUUUGCUCAAGAUGCAAUUGAUGAAUAUAAGACAGGCAAUUGAAAAUGAGAAUUGAUCUUUUUUAUGGGCGAAGUGUUGAAGAUGGCUUUGGUGAAGGAAAUGUCUUGUUACUUGUUAGCAUCAAGUAAGUGGCGACAUCACAACCCCUACAAGCUUGUGCCUUAAAACAAGAGGAUACAAGAAGUUGGAGUGCUUUUGUGAAGGCUUUUGCGAAUCACUUGAAGCGUUAGUACUUUUGUGAAUGAUUUUGUAAAGUGUUUGCAAAUAUGUGCAAAACAUAAUAACAUGUGUAGGUUUUGUGAAUGA
This is a long non-coding RNA of Zea mays, 338 nucleotides long. RefSeq lists it as uncharacterized. The transcript is spliced from 2 exons. Lineage: Eukaryota; Viridiplantae; Streptophyta; Magnoliopsida; Poales; Poaceae. The record is from RefSeq and is a predicted model, not a curated record.